GUGAAACCCACGGACCUGACCAUCUGACACUUGGGCUUCGUUCAUGUGUGAAGUUCUCCACGAGGGAUCGAGGAUCUCUCCAUAUGCACCACCAGCCUCCUGAGCAUGCUCCAGGCCAUCACUGUCAGCCCCAGCACCUCCUGGUUGGCCAGAUUUAAACGCGUGUCUCUUCUAUAGGAAUCAUGCUGCUCUCAAGUGCUUACGUGGUGAUCCUCCUGCUCAGGGAGCAGAGACGAUCCCAGCACCUUCACAGCGCCAGACUCUCUUCUAAUGCCUC
Molecule: long non-coding RNA, 277 nt
Organism: Nycticebus coucang (slow loris)
Lineage: Eukaryota; Metazoa; Chordata; Mammalia; Primates; Lorisidae
Exons: 3
Source: RefSeq, a predicted model, not a curated record